UACGUAGGGCGCAAGCGUUGUCCGGAAUUAUUGGGCGUAAAGAGCUCGUAGGCGGCUUGUCACGUCGGGGUGUGAAAGCCCGGGGCUUAACCCCCGGGUCUGCAUUCGAUACGGGCUGGCUAGAGUGUGGUAGGGGAGAUCGAAUUCCUGGUGUAGCGGUGAAAUGCGCAGAUAUCAGGAGGAACACCGGUGGCGAAGGCGGAUCUCUGGGCAAAUAACUGACGCUGAGGCACGAAAAGCUAGGGGUAGCGAAACGGGGAAUUUAGAAA
RNAcentral lists this ribosomal RNA (269 nucleotides) under uncultured bacterium. RNAcentral's name for it is "partial 16S ribosomal RNA". It matches the Rfam family "Bacterial small subunit ribosomal RNA", at positions 524 to 784 of the family's 1533-position model. The record is from RNAcentral.